Molecule: ribosomal RNA, 449 nt
Filed under: uncultured bacterium
Lineage: Bacteria
Description: partial 16S ribosomal RNA
Rfam family: Bacterial small subunit ribosomal RNA
Source: RNAcentral
GACGAACGCUGGCGGCAUGCCUAACACAUGCAAGUCGAACGAGACCUUCGGGUCUAGUGGCGCACGGGUGCGUAACGCGUGGGAAUCUGCCCUUGGGUUCGGAAUAACAGUUAGAAAUGACUGCUAAUACCGGAUGAUGACGUAAGUCCAAAGAUUUAUCGCCCAAGGAUGAGCCCGCGUAGGAUUAGCUAGUUGGUAGGGUAAAGGCUUACCAAGGCGACGAUCCUUAGCUGGUCUGAGAGGAUGAUCAGCCACACUGGGACUGAGACACGGCCCAGACUCCUACGGGAGGCAGCAGUGGGGAAUAUUGGACAAUGGGCGAAAGCCUGAUCCAGCAAUGCCGCGUGAGUGAUGAAGGCCUUAGGGUUGUAAAGCUCUUUUACCAGGGAUGAUAAUGACAGUACCUGGAGAAUAAGCUCCGGCUAACUCCGUGCCAGCAGCCGCGGUAA